GCUUACCCCUCCAAGGGAAUUUGAUGGUUUCGGUGUCCCAAUCCGCCGUGCACCCGUUGGGGUGUGGGGUGGACGUGAGGCGGGCUCCGUGAUCCACGCGUGCCUCGCGGUUCGCCGUGUGGCCGUUGUGGCUCAUGGGGUCUUCGCCCGUUCUCUCGGAUGCGGAAUGUUGUGCGUGGGCGUGGGGCCUCGGCCUCGUCUCGUCCAAGCUAAGCAUUCGUCCCUCGACGCGAACGACUGCCGCGCUCGUCUUGACCCCCCCGGGCGGCUCAUGCGGGCGUCGGCGUCGCGAA
RNAcentral lists this unclassified non-coding RNA (293 nucleotides) under Simarouba versicolor. RNAcentral's name for it is "partial miscellaneous RNA". The record is from RNAcentral. Lineage: Eukaryota; Viridiplantae; Streptophyta; Magnoliopsida; Sapindales; Simaroubaceae.